GUGGGGAAUAUUGGACAAUGGGCGCAAGCCUGAUCCAGCCAUGCCGCGUGUGUGAAGAAGGCCUUCGGGUUGUAAAGCACUUUUGUUGGGAAAGAAAUCCUGUCGGCUAAUACCCGGCGGGGAUGACGGUACCCAAAGAAUAAGCACCGGCUAACUUCGUGCCAGCAGCCGCGGUAAUACGAAGGGUGCAAGCGUUACUCGGAAUUACUGGGCGUAAAGCGUGCGUAGGUGGUUCGUUAAGUCAGAUGUGAAAGCCCCGGGCUCAACCUGGGAAUUGCAUUUGAUACUGGCGGACUAGAGUGCGGUAGAGGAGAGUGGAAUUCCCGGUGUAGCAGUGAAAUGCGUAGAGAUCGGGAGGAACAUCAGUUGCGAAGGCGGCUCUCUGGACCAGCACUGACACUGAGGCACGAAAGCGUGGGGAGCAAACAGGAUUAGAAACCCUUGUAGUCC
RNAcentral lists this ribosomal RNA (450 nucleotides) under uncultured bacterium. Its description in RNAcentral is "partial 16S ribosomal RNA". It matches the Rfam family "Bacterial small subunit ribosomal RNA", at positions 354 to 796 of the family's 1533-position model. The record is from RNAcentral.